RNAcentral lists this long non-coding RNA (411 nucleotides) under Meriones unguiculatus (Mongolian gerbil). RNAcentral's name for it is "lncRNA (ENSMUGG00000019906.1)". Lineage: Eukaryota; Metazoa; Chordata; Mammalia; Rodentia; Muridae. The record is from RNAcentral.
CGAGAGGAGGGCUCCGCCGCGACCCGGACAGUUUCCAAUCCUGGUCAAGCGGUGGUGCUAGCUCUUUGCUGCAGGCUCUCCGCGUUUCCUAAUUUCAUGGUCACGGCAGCCUCGGAGCGGAUCCUACCCAAACUGAAAACACAAGGCUCCACGCUCAGCAGCCCUGUGCCGCCAGGAGAGGCCAAUGCCCCCUCCUGUGCCAUGCUCUAGCGCAAGACGGCAGUCUUUGGGCGACAUUCUUCUCAAGCAGGGUGCUGGUCUCUUUGGCUGCUGGUUGGAUGUGAUGGAUGCACCUCUGAUCCAGAACUUUUUCAUUUGCUGUCUUCUCAAACACACCCCUGGUUCCUCUCUCCCCAUAAGGUGGCCCGUCUGCUGCUGAGCUCUCCGCGUUCGCGGGGAAGCAGCCCGCAC